Molecule: long non-coding RNA, 548 nt
Organism: Pezoporus flaviventris
Lineage: Eukaryota; Metazoa; Chordata; Aves; Psittaciformes; Psittacidae
Exons: 2
Source: RefSeq, a predicted model, not a curated record
AAACACAGCACUGCACCAGCUACCAAGAAGGAGAAAAAUGACUGCUACUGCUGAACCCAGGACAAAAUGCUAUAAACUUAAUUUAAAAGGCAAGUACAUCCCACUGGACAUACUUUAAGCCCAGGCAAAGCUGACAAUAAAAGCUAGAGAAACAGCCAAGGAAAAUUAGGUCUAGGUUAUCCAUUAAACAAUAUUCACUUUAUUGUAUUUAUUAUAAAGUACAUUACCUAAGCAUUUUAACAUAGAUAAGUUCUACCAAUAGUUGGUGGAAUACUACAGAGAGCUAAACAAAAAAACAUUUUAUCUACCCCAGUACAAGAUGUAUGUAGAUUUCUUCCAGGAAGGGCCACAAGCAAUAUUACUUUGUGUUACUGGUUGAUUUUGGCAUAGCUAUAGCAACAGCCAUAUGGGAGGCAUGUGGAGCUGCACAUGGCGAAGUCGUGUUAUUACCAGGAUCUCAUUUGAUGUGGCUACUCUCCAAGAGUUCUGACUUAGAUCAACUAAAACCAUUAACUUUCAAAAUACAAUCAGUGUGAUCAUAUUUUUUU